CCGCUUGGUCACUUUAACUGUUUAGACUACGUUACCCAUGAUGCACCUCGGUAUCUGUACUUCCGGUUGGGAACGUGUUCAGCGCAGUUCUGCACAGAUGAGAGGUGUGUUGGAGGUGUCGGAGGAUUAACGUUUUUCCUUGCAUUCCUGUGUGUGUGCUUAUCAUAUGACCACACACUCAUAUACACACUCACACUCCCUUCACCUGCAUUUUUGAAUACAGUAAUGCAAUCGCCUCCCCACCGACGCUGUACAUCCUGUUGAUGUCAUCUGCCACCUCCUUAUUAAAGUUACUUGAACUACA
Molecule: long non-coding RNA, 304 nt
Organism: Oreochromis aureus
Lineage: Eukaryota; Metazoa; Chordata; Actinopteri; Cichliformes; Cichlidae
Exons: 2
Source: RefSeq, a predicted model, not a curated record